This 253-nucleotide ribosomal RNA is filed under the name uncultured bacterium. RNAcentral's name for it is "partial 16S ribosomal RNA". It matches the Rfam family "Bacterial small subunit ribosomal RNA", at positions 524 to 776 of the family's 1533-position model. The record is from RNAcentral.
UACGAAGGGUGCAAGCGUUACUCGGAAUUACUGGGCGUAAAGCGCGCGUAGGUGGUUUGUUAAGUUGGAUGUGAAAGCCCCGGGCUCAACCUGGGAACUGCAUUCAAAACUGACAAGCUAGAGUAUGGUAGAGGGUGGUGGAAUUUCCUGUGUAGCGGUGAAAUGCGUAGAUAUAGGAAGGAACACCAGUGGCGAAGGCGACCACCUGGACUGAUACUGGCACUGAGGUGCGAAAGCGUGGGGAGCAAACAGG